This is a non-coding RNA of Gymnothorax javanicus (giant moray), 70 nucleotides long. NCBI's taxonomy places the organism in Eukaryota, Metazoa, Chordata, Actinopteri, Anguilliformes, Muraenidae. The record is from the annotation of a GenBank genome assembly.
AGCGCUAUGGCCAAGUGGUUAAGGUGCUUGUUUAGCACGCGGAAGAAUCGUGAUUCAAGCCCUAGUGCAG